RNAcentral lists this ribosomal RNA (253 nucleotides) under uncultured bacterium. Its description in RNAcentral is "partial 16S ribosomal RNA". It matches the Rfam family "Bacterial small subunit ribosomal RNA", at positions 524 to 776 of the family's 1533-position model. The record is from RNAcentral.
UACAGAGACUGCAAGCGUUAUUCGGAUUCACUGGGCGUAAAGGGUGCGCAGGCGGUCGGGUGUGUCAGAUGUGAAAUCCCGAGGCUCAACCUCGGAACUGCGUCUGAAACUACUCGACUAGAGUACUGGAGAGGGUAACGGAAUUCACGGUGUAGCAGUGAAAUGCGUAGAUAUCGUGAGGAACACCGGUGGCGAAGGCGGAUCUCUGGGCCAUAACUGACGCUGAGGAGCGAAAGCAUGGGGAGCGAACAGG